CAGUCGCCGCGGUAAUACGGAGGGUGCAAGCGUUAAUCGGAAUUACUGGGCGUAAAGCGCACGCAGGCGGUUUGUUAAGUCAGAUGUGAAAUCCCCGAGCUUAACUUGGGAACUGCAUUUGAAACUGGCAAGCUAGAGUCUUGUAGAGGGGGGUAGAAUUCCAGGUGUAGCGGUGAAAUGCGUAGAGAUCUGGAGGAAUACCGGUGGCGAAGGCGGCCCCCUGGACAAAGACUGACGCUCAGGUGCGAAAGCGUGGGGAGCAAACAGGAUUAGAUACCCGUGUAGUCCCUGUCUCUUAUAC
Molecule: ribosomal RNA, 301 nt
Filed under: uncultured bacterium
Lineage: Bacteria
Description: partial 16S ribosomal RNA
Rfam family: Bacterial small subunit ribosomal RNA
Source: RNAcentral